CAAAUCAAGGGAAAUGAGCUGCACGUGCUGCACUCCAGCCGUAAAUUCAGAUCCAAUGAAUUGAAGUAAUGAUGUAUUUAGUAUAUCCCUUUGAAAUGGUUUUGAAUGCAGACAUGCAAAGCUAGUUCAGUCACCAGCAACAGGAUGAAAUCCUGACUAUUUCAUUACCAAGUGUCGCUGGGGCUUAAAGGAGAAAAAAGACAGCGUGAACAGAAGUGACUCAUGUCAGCUCCUAUGAGUGUCCAUGGAAUGAGCAUUACAUCAUAUUUCACUUCCUGCGCUGCUUCCAGCUAUGUUAAGAGAGCUCUGAAGCAUUUUGUUGUCUCCCAUGAAGGUCAGGAGGGAGAGGGCUGAUCUAAUAUCCAUGAGGAGGGAGUUCCAUAGCCGAGGAGCCACCACCAAGAAGGCCCUGUCUCUUGUCCCUAUCAGUCACGCCUGCCAAGAGGGUGGGAUCAAGAGCAGGGCCUCCCAGGAUGAUCUUAAUCUCCAAGAUGGUUCAUAGGAGGUGAUACAUUCAGACAGAUACUUCACAGCAAGUCUCCUGAUCCGCAAGACUGGGAUUGCAAUACAAGAUCAUGUGACCAAGUUCAAUCUGUUUAGUGAACACAUGGAUGCUAUCAGCUGUGUUAGACAAGCAAUACUGAAACACCUGAAACUGCCUUAGCCACAUUCAACAAAGAGUUUAAUAGCUUUCACUAUUUAAAUCUCCCUAAUUCUGUUUGAACUGUGUCCAUAAACUUUUAAAACAUGAAA
Molecule: long non-coding RNA, 753 nt
Organism: Anolis carolinensis (green anole)
Lineage: Eukaryota; Metazoa; Chordata; Lepidosauria; Squamata; Anolidae
Exons: 3
Source: RefSeq, a predicted model, not a curated record